CAAAUCAGGUAGGACUACCCGCUGAACUUA
RNAcentral lists this ribosomal RNA (30 nucleotides) under Hebeloma vesterholtii. RNAcentral's name for it is "partial 28S ribosomal RNA". Lineage: Eukaryota; Fungi; Basidiomycota; Agaricomycetes; Agaricales; Hymenogastraceae. The record is from RNAcentral.